RNAcentral lists this transfer RNA (67 nucleotides) under Marmota monax (woodchuck). RNAcentral describes it as "tRNA.Ala". It matches the Rfam family "tRNA", at positions 6 to 65 of the family's 71-position model. Rfam says of the family: Transfer RNA (tRNA) molecules are approximately 80 nucleotides in length. The record is from RNAcentral. Lineage: Eukaryota; Metazoa; Chordata; Mammalia; Rodentia; Sciuridae.
GGCUGUAGCUCAGUGGCAGAGCACUUGCCUAGCAUGCAUAAGGCACUGAGUUUGAUCCUCAGCAUCA